UACGGAGGGUGCAAGCGUUAUCCGGAUUUACUGGGUUUAAAGGGUGCGUAGGUGGGUAAGUAAGUCAGUGGUGAAAUCUUCGAGCUUAACUCGGAAACUGCCAUUGAUACUAUUUAUCUUGAAUACUUUGGAGGUAAGCGGAAUAUGUCAUGUAGCGGUGAAAUGCUUAGAUAUGACAUAGAACACCAAUUGCGAAGGCAGCUUGCUACACAGUUAUUGACACUGAGGCACGAAAGCGUGGGGAUCAAACAGG
Molecule: ribosomal RNA, 253 nt
Filed under: uncultured bacterium
Lineage: Bacteria
Description: partial 16S ribosomal RNA
Rfam family: Bacterial small subunit ribosomal RNA
Source: RNAcentral